CAAUCGGCCCUUUUCAGGGCCACCAAACAUUCUGUAAAUUACUAG
This is a non-coding RNA of Trachymyrmex cornetzi, 45 nucleotides long. The record is from Rfam. Lineage: Eukaryota; Metazoa; Arthropoda; Insecta; Hymenoptera; Formicidae.